CGUACCCAACACAGCAUGAGAAAACCCUCGAUGAAGCAAGACGUUGUCCCUACCAGACAAAGAAGCAAGCAGACACCAGCUCUCUGGGAACCUUGGGAGGCUGAGGACGGAGGAUGCAGCCUGCUGCAGCUGGAGCUAACGUCCUGUUCUGGUUCAGAAAACAGACCUUGGUCCAAGAGAACGGCUGACAAUGACUCCCGAUGAAUUAAACUUCUCCAACAAUAAACAUUUACAUUUUCACCAA
This is a long non-coding RNA of Numida meleagris (helmeted guineafowl), 244 nucleotides long. RefSeq lists it as uncharacterized. The record is from RefSeq and is a predicted model, not a curated record. The transcript is spliced from 2 exons. Lineage: Eukaryota; Metazoa; Chordata; Aves; Galliformes; Numididae.